Molecule: long non-coding RNA, 287 nt
Organism: Dermacentor albipictus
Lineage: Eukaryota; Metazoa; Arthropoda; Arachnida; Ixodida; Ixodidae
Source: RefSeq, a predicted model, not a curated record
CAGCGCAAUACCAACAUGCGGUUCUUCUCCGUAGCCUUCAUUCUUGGACUCCUGGUCGCUUUUCUGGCCUUCUGCUCCACAACAGCGGAGGAAACACACCUGCCGCAUCUACGAGUCCGUCGAAGUGGCGGCUGCCCAAACACCGGCAGCUGUACGAAGAGCUGCGAGGACAGCGGCCGCAAAACAGGGAACUGCGUGGGACCGCGUCGUUCAGUCUGCGUAUGCAAAAGAUAUUGAGCGGCACUCGCCAAAUAACUCCAAUAAAGCCACAACUUGUGCUUCGAUUG